Molecule: ribosomal RNA, 465 nt
Filed under: uncultured bacterium
Lineage: Bacteria
Description: partial 16S ribosomal RNA
Rfam family: Bacterial small subunit ribosomal RNA
Source: RNAcentral
GACGAACGCUGGCGGCGUGCUUAACACAUGCAAGUCGAACGGAAAGGCCCCUUUGGGGGUACUCGAGUGGCGAACGGGUGAGUAACACGUGAGUAACCUGCCCUUGACUUCGGGUUAACUUCAGGCAACUGGGGCUAAUACCGGCUAGGAAUCCUUGCUGCAUGGUGGGGGUUGGAAAGCUUCGGGGGUUUGGGAUGGACUCGCGGCUUUUCAGCUUGUUGGUGGGGUAGUGGCUUACCAAGGCUUUGACGGGUAGCCGGCCUGGGAGGGCGAACGGCCACAUUUGGACUGAGGUACGGCCCAGACUCCUACGGGGGGCAGGGGGGGGGAAUAUUGCACAAUGGGGGGAAGCCUGAUGCAGCAACGCCGCGUGCGGGAUGACGGGCUUCGGGUUGGAAACCGCUUUCAGCAGGUGCGAAGCUUGUGGUGACGGUACCUGCAGAAGAAGCACCGGCUAACUACGUG